Molecule: long non-coding RNA, 796 nt
Organism: Oreochromis aureus
Lineage: Eukaryota; Metazoa; Chordata; Actinopteri; Cichliformes; Cichlidae
Exons: 5
Source: RefSeq, a predicted model, not a curated record
ACUGUGAUUUGACCAUCCUCUAUAUGUAAGACUAGCGUAUUAGGAUAACCAAAGCAGCGCUGUUCAGAACAGCAAAGUAGAAUAAGACAAGACAGGGGGUGUUAAGCUGUACGCUGGUGCAAAAUACGUUGCACACCGUUCAAAUUAGCAACCCUAGCCUUGCAGCGUGUGAUGGAAAAAAAAAUAGCCUUAUUCGGGAUGUUGCAAUGUGACAGCCUGACGCUCCAAGUAUACAUGCUGGAGAGAUUUGGGUUGCAGUGCAUGCAGAGACCGGUUGGAUGCUUGUCUGUUAAGUACAAUGUGUGCUCUACUCUGAAACAGGCACUCAAAUGAUACACAGCAGCAAAAAGACAAAACAGAGGGACAUUCACAAACAAAUAUACAAGACUUAGGAGACCCCAGCCGUCCACGGCAUCCAAGAGAGCUGAAGAUCCGAGGCCACACAGCCCAAUGACAACCAUGCGUCUAACCUAGCUGAGGGAGCAGUGACGAACCCUGGACCUUCUCAACACAUGGACAAGCUGAGGAACCCCAGCUGACAUACGAGCCCUCGUCCCCCUGACACACCAGCCACAGUAAGGGUCGUGGGCCAAGAGACAGGAGUGGCAGUCUGGAUGCUGCUGACACUCAGCCACUGGCCUCUUCUGCAGCUAGAACCAGGACAACACAAUCAAGUUCAGUCAUGCAAACCAUCCACACUAAGCUCCUAAAAGCUCCUGAUUUAAAAAAAAAAAAAGAUGAGAGAAAAGGCAGCCCAGAUUUCCCAGUGGUCAUUAAAAUAAUCCCAAAUACAACA